CCUACGGGAGGCAGCAGUGAGGAAUAUUGGUCAAUGGACGAGAGUCUGAACCAGCCAAGUAGCAUGAAGGAUGACUGCCCUAUGGGUUGUAAACUUCUUUUAUAAAGGAAUAAAACGAGGCACGUGUGCCUUUUUGCAUGUACUUUAUGAAUAAGGAUCGGCUAACUCCGUGCCAGCAGCCGCGGUAAUACGGAGGAUCCGAGCGUUAUCCGGAUGUAUUGGGUUUAAAGGGAGCGUAGAUGGGUUGUUAAGUCAGUUGUGAAAGUUUGCGGCUCAACCGUAAAAUUGCAAGUGAUACUGGCAGUCUUGAGUACAGUUGAGGUAGGCGGAAUUCGUGGUGUAGCGGUGAAAUGCGUAGAUAUCACGAAGAACACCGAUUGCGAAGGCAGCUUACUAAACUGUGACUGACAUUGAUGCUCGAAAGUGUGGGUAUCAAACAGGAUUAGAUACCCUUGUAGUC
This 460-nucleotide ribosomal RNA is filed under the name uncultured bacterium. RNAcentral's name for it is "partial 16S ribosomal RNA". It matches the Rfam family "Bacterial small subunit ribosomal RNA", at positions 338 to 795 of the family's 1533-position model. The record is from RNAcentral.